UCUACAUGUCGUUAUUCUACUUAUCUGCACAAUGAGCAUAUACGUUUCCCACGUCAGGGGUUGAACUUUUACCUCAAGUCAAGUCAAGUGUAGUGACAGGUUAACCGGUUAGACAACAUCUUCAGACAGGGUGUGACACGGGCAGGUCAGCACUGCAAGCUUAAAGAUCUCUAACUUUGUCAUCAACUUUGUCUCACAGGUGAAAGAUGAAAGGAACCAUGAAAGUCCUUCUCCUGUUGAUCGUGUUGGUGACCAUGGUGCCUGAUGAUGUUGUCGGCUACCCCAAAUGUUUUUGCCCCCCAGACUGCUUGUGUGAAGUUGAUGAGGACUUUAACCGAGCUGCACGAGAGCGCAAACCACGAGACCUGGCAGCAGAUGUUGCUUCGAUCAAGACAGUGAAUGAUGCAUAUGAAAACGGGGCCCCACAACGUCCUCUUUUCUGACAUUGACGUGGAUACAGCACACGCAGCAGUAAAUUGCUGUGUUAGCUAAGACUACUGAUGCCGGAUGGUGAGACAUCACCAGUGCUACUUACCUGAGAGAUCUUCUGCUUGCAGCCACAAUCUCUGAUUUACUAAAUGAACGCUAGCGCACUCGCACAGCUUGUAGUUGCUAGACGAUCAAGUAGAAAUCCGCCCAGAUCUCAUUCUGAAUGACUCCUUCCACAAUUUAGCUCAUUCGUUAACUGAGCACCCCGUUACAGCACAAAGCAUUGGUCUAAACAUUCGAUGAGAUUUUGACAACAAAUUCUAAAAGAGCUUAAAGUUGUUCAAGAAAUUGUAUCUGAAUGAGCCAUAUGAUGUAUGUGUCAGGAACACAUACUAGAGUUAAUAAACAAUAAAUAAACCUUGAUUUCGGGAUGAAAGGAGUUUAGCGGUGCCGAUGUUUAGCCGAAUAAAAAGUGCUUGCUAUGCAUGGUGAACAUA
Long non-coding RNA from Branchiostoma floridae (Florida lancelet), 926 nucleotides. RefSeq lists it as uncharacterized. The record is from RefSeq and is a predicted model, not a curated record. NCBI's taxonomy places the organism in Eukaryota, Metazoa, Chordata, Leptocardii, Amphioxiformes, Branchiostomatidae. The transcript is spliced from 4 exons.